RNAcentral lists this ribosomal RNA (484 nucleotides) under uncultured bacterium. RNAcentral describes it as "partial 16S ribosomal RNA". It matches the Rfam family "Bacterial small subunit ribosomal RNA", at positions 30 to 507 of the family's 1533-position model. The record is from RNAcentral.
AUUGAACGCUGGCGGCAGGCCUAACACAUGCAAGUCGAGCGGAUGAAGGGAGCUUGCUCCUGGAUUCAGCGGCGGACGGGUGAGUAAUGCCUAGGGAUCUGCCUGGUAGUGGGGGAUAACGUCCGGAAACGGGCGCUAAUACCGCAUACGUCCUGAGGGAGAAAGUGGGGGAUCUCCGGACCUCACGCUAUCAGAUGAGCCUAGGUCGGAUUAGCUAGUUGGUGGGGUAAAGGCCUACCAAGGCGACGAUCCGUAACUGGUCUGAGAGGAUGAUCAGUCACACUGGAACUGAGACACGGUCCAGACUCCUACGGGAGGCAGCAGUGGGGAAUAUUGGACAAUGGGCGAAAGCCUGAUCCAGCCAUGCCGCGUGUGUGAAGAAGGUCUUCGGAUUGUAAAGCACUUUAAGUUGGGAGGAAGGGCAGUAAGUUAAUACCUUGCUGUUUUGACGUUACCAACAGAAUAAGCACCGGCUAACUUCGUG